RNAcentral lists this ribosomal RNA (279 nucleotides) under uncultured bacterium. RNAcentral's name for it is "partial 16S ribosomal RNA". It matches the Rfam family "Bacterial small subunit ribosomal RNA", at positions 506 to 784 of the family's 1533-position model. The record is from RNAcentral.
UGCCAGCCGCCGCGGUAAGACGGAGGGGGCUAGCGUUGUUCGGAAUUACUGGGCGUAAAGGGCAUGUAGGCGGAUCGGUCAGUCAGGCGUGAAAGCCCCGGGCUUAACCUGGGAAUUGCGCUUGAUACUGCCAAUCUAGAGUCCGGGAGAGGAUGGUGGAAUUCCCAGUGUAGAGGUGAAAUUCGUAGAUAUUGGGAAGAACACCAGUGGCGAAGGCGGCUAUCUGGACCGGUACUGACGCUGAGGUGCGAAAGCGUGGGGAGCAAACAGGAUUAGAUA